Molecule: long non-coding RNA, 999 nt
Filed under: Marmota monax (woodchuck)
Lineage: Eukaryota; Metazoa; Chordata; Mammalia; Rodentia; Sciuridae
Source: RNAcentral
GCGGGGGCGGGGUGGAGUCGGCACCCAGGGGUAAGUACAGUGGGCACCAUCUGGAGCCCGGAGAAACCCCAGUGGGUAGGAAGGCUCUAGGGUGUGUGCAGGGGCAGCAGAGGCCGGGGUGUCGAGGUUAGGGCGGUGAGUAGCUGCACCGAUCGCCACGUGGCCGGGAGGAGAAAUGCAAACAAGGAAACCGAGGGAAGGGGGAGGGGGUGAGUCAUUGCUGCCCCACCCGGGAGGGAAAUCCGGGCUGGGGCCGCUUCCCGGCCGGGGGCGUCCUGCCUCCUGUUUCGGUUCAGGGUCUCUAGCAUCCCCGGGGAGGGACUGGGCGACUUUCCCAUGGGGAAUCCCGCUACUGAGCUUCACACCGUUGUGUUCCCAGACACACGCAGCCGGAGCGGCGCGGGUAAGGAAAUUGUGGCUGGAGAGGAAGGAGCGCGCUCCAGUUUUUCAUGGAUGCGUGGUGAGGGACAGAGUUAAGGCCCCAGUGGGGAGGUUGCGUUUCUGGCAGAGCUUUGUGGAAAGUGGGUUUAAGAGAGCCACGCCCCCCCCCCCCACCGCCGGCUUCCUUGUGGCAGGACAGGUGGAAGCAGAGACCUAGAUUCCAUCCUGCCAGACCGGCUGCGGACUAAGUACAGAAGUCCUCCACCUCUCCAGGCCUCAGUUUCCCCAGCCGCACAGAUAGCCAAACGCCACCCUCUGUUGCACUCAUGCUCUGGAGAGGACAGAAACUGUGACCCUGGGACAGCGACUUCCGUGGCGCCCCAUAAUUGUAAUUGCUCAGGACGAUAAUAAGGGUUUAGAAGAAGGCUCACAACCCGCCCCCAGCUUUCUAGGACUUACUCCCUUUUUACCCCCUCUCAACUUCUUUCCCAUUGCUGUUGAGCCUGUCGGUAUUGGAGGAGAAACAUGGCAGCAGGCAGAUCCCCUCUGCUUUUGAAUGCUGAGCUCCCAUCCUCCACUGAAGAUUAUUUUCUUGAAACAGAGAGGGGAAUUUUAAUU